CGGGGUGUAGCGCAGUCUGGUAGCGCACCUGCAUGGGGUGCAGGUGGUCGGAGGUUCGAAUCCUCUCACCCCGACCA
This 77-nucleotide transfer RNA is filed under the name Arhodomonas sp. Its description in RNAcentral is "tRNA-Pro". It matches the Rfam family "tRNA". Rfam says of the family: Transfer RNA (tRNA) molecules are approximately 80 nucleotides in length. Their secondary structure includes four short double-helical elements and three loops (D, anti-codon, and T loops). The record is from RNAcentral. Lineage: Bacteria; Pseudomonadati; Pseudomonadota; Gammaproteobacteria; Chromatiales; Ectothiorhodospiraceae. RNAcentral also lists the same sequence under 2 other names.